RNAcentral lists this transfer RNA (66 nucleotides) under Eospalax fontanierii. RNAcentral describes it as "tRNA-His". It matches the Rfam family "tRNA". Rfam says of the family: Transfer RNA (tRNA) molecules are approximately 80 nucleotides in length. Their secondary structure includes four short double-helical elements and three loops (D, anti-codon, and T loops). Lineage: Eukaryota; Metazoa; Chordata; Mammalia; Rodentia; Spalacidae. The record is from RNAcentral.
GUAAAUAUAGUUUAAAAAAUAUUAGACUGUGAAUCUAAAGAUAGAAGUAUUAACUUCUUAUUUACC